GAGAUUUUCAGUGUGACACAAAGAUGUGAUAUUAAAGAGAUUAAGUAAACCCUGCACUCCUUGGAAUGGAAAUAUUAGUGCAAACUCUCGAGAUUUAUCUAUUAUUUUUCAACCACAUUGAGGAUUCUUAGACACAAUGUCCACUGAAGUAGACAUGGCAUUCCUAGUCCCCAGAUUUUGAUCUCGAUAUAUAUCUAUUUUAUUUAAAGAACCCAAGGUGUGUGGAGAAGUAACUGACUUCUGGUCCGGAGAGGGGGCGUAUGACAUAAGACUGAUUCAUUGAGAUGUUUAUCAGAGUAAGAAAAAAUAUCCAUGGCUCCUAGAUUUAUAUCAGAAAGACCCAGUAACCAACUUGAAGCAGCUCACAAGCAGGGCCAACUUGCGCUUCAAAUGUAUUUAAGUCUAUCAAUUAUGUCUAUACCUAUACAUGUAUAAAAUAUUUUAAAAGAAGAAAACUAGUUGAUUGCAUUGUAAAGAUGAGAGGUAAUCAAUUUUCACCUUCCUUAAAAGCUGGAAUGUGUCUUGAUCUUUCUGUGCAGGGAACAGAAUACUAGAUGAGACGUAAAAGGUUAUGAAAGCUAUGCAAGUGAAUAAAUAACAUGAUCAAAUUAGAACAAACCUAUUUCAGAGCCCUCAAUGAAUUAAUAGAUUUAGGCAUUGAGCACCAGACGCCUCUUACAUUAUAAAAAGUGAAAACUAGCAAACAUACUUCCUGGAAGAAAAAUCAGACUCAAGCAUGGCCUCCUCAGAUGCCUCAGAUUUAACUUUGAUCAAGCCUCUAUUCACUGUGGGUUUUCAGGAAAUGCAGGGAAUUCAACAACCUGUUUAACCGUAAUAGAAAUAAGCAGAGAGUCAUACAUUGUAGAAAACAUCUUAGUGCAAACAACUAAGAUUCUUCAAUAGAUAAACUACAUUGAAAGCAAAGGAUAGGAUAAAUAAAAGAAGGAAGACUUACAUUAUAAAUCACACAGACACACCAACUCCUGAACACCUGCAGCAUUCAAACCAAGGUCAAGAUUUUAGGCAGCCUGACAUUUCCAAGUGUCCGCAAAGCAUAACUUGAUGUGGGUCUGUGUAACUUGUGGUUCCUUUCUGUUUGGACUUCGUAUAAGAAGACAGCCUUGUAAAAUAAAAUCUGUUAAAUGACUGGAAACUACCCUACACUUUUCAUGGUGGUCUUGGAAUAGACAAAGGAUUUGGCCUAGGUUGGAGUGGAGGAAGCUUUCCAGAAAGAGAAGCCACUGUCUGAACAUCCAUAUGUUAUUGAAGAUAUCCACAGCCUAGUGGAGUACGUGGUAAAAGGAGAAGUACAAGGCUCUUUUCCUGGUGUCUGCUUCCCAUUGCCAUGAGGUGAACAUCUUUCCUCUACCAUGCCCUUCUGCCAUGAGUUUCUGUCUUGGAGUUGGCUGACCAUGGACUGAAUCUCUGAAACCAUAAGCCAAAAUAUUGUCCUCCUUUAAGUUGCAGGUGUCAGGUAUGUUUUUCCUAGCAAUACAAAUCUGACUGUUAAUACAGAAACAUACAGCUGUGACCAGAUCCCAACUCUUGCCCACCUUGUCGUUUUUCUGCUGGGACAUAUAAAACUGGUUCAGGCAGUUGAGUGUGUCCAAAAGGGGAACCAAACUACCUCUAUGAGGGAAGUGAAGGCUGGAAACUUUUCAUGUGAAUUCAGAGAAUCCUCCAUGCCUGAAAGGAGCAUUGUCCUAGGGGAGAAGGCAUCCCAGACAGACAACCUGAAAGUUUUGCCCAACAGAAAGCAACCUGCUUCAGAACAGCACAAACAAACCAUUCUGAGCUCCAAGGGAUCCAAAAAGUUUAGUCCUAAAACUACAUUUUGUGGCAAACACACAGGGAUAAAUGUCAAGGAUAACUUAUUUGUGCCACAUCCAUAAAAAUUAAAUCUCUGGACAAGGCUAACAUGUCAAGCAUGGUCAAGACGGAACAGUAAACCUGGCAUCUGUGGAAAUGUAGGAAGCUGUGAAAGUGUUAUGCAGCCACAACAUAUUUGGCAAAAUUGCCGUUUCUGGUAACUUUGGAAAGUAGAAAACGUUGCUAAUGAAUAGCUGUACUGAGAUAAAGAUAUAUUUGUGCCAAAUGCUGCAGUUGUCAUUUGACCCAUGAAAGCUGCAUAUGAUAUGACACUAUGAUAAAAUGUAUGAAUUCGAGAAAAAAAACGGGUCCAUUUGGAGACAAUUCUGAGAAUAGCAAGUUUGAAAAGCACACGGCCUCUCUUUCAUGGGAAAAAUAAUUCACAAAAUAAUUUAAAAUCUGGAGCCAGGGUCAAAUCUAGUAUGCUCCAGAAAUAUCUGGCUUUAUGGUAAAGAUCAAACCAAGAAUACUACAGGAAAGCCCUAGAUGAAGACUUCUGACAUAGUUAAGAUAUAGCCCAGUAGAACUUCUCUGUUGAAUGUUAGGACAUUGUCUGACCACAGCCUUGCACAUCCAACGCAACAGUGGCUGAGUAUGCAGAGCAAAGACGUGUCUUGAAAAGAAAUGUGACCAGCAUAGAGUCAAAUUCAUAGGAGACCCUCUCAGAUUUGGAGACAGCUAUACUGGCAAAAGUAUGCGUUCCAAAUGUACAUGUGAGCUUCUUGAUUUCCAAGCUGUAGGUGGGAAAAAGCAGGUUGAGGAAUCUCUUCAAAGAGUACAUCUUCUUACUCAGCAGCCAGACAGCAUAUUGGAAAAGAAAGAACGUUCUAUGUGGGACCAAGGUCUCUGGAGAAUGAUGGACUGGAACGCCAUUCCCAGGAAGUGGACUGAAUCUGGGAUUAGUUCCCACUCCAGGAGAAGGGCCGUCAAUAUACACAACCAUUAAAGUAAUGAGAUGUAUUUUCAUAUACUCAUAAGUGCGAGUUUCCAAGCUAUGUACUUUAUGAAAUAGAAAAGAAAGUUACCUUUUUUCAUUUUAUAUUUUUAGUGCUUUAUGGAUUCCUGUAAACACAUAUUGGUUUAUAAGUAUUAGUGAUAUUAUCUAGAUGAUAUUAGCAAUCAUUUUCUGUUUUUCUUAUUGUAUUUAUGUUUUAUAUAUAAAUGUAUUUUAUAGAACAAAAACAUGUCCUAUAUACAUAGAAAUAUGUAUUUUCAGCGUGCAAUGCAUAUGCAUGUCCAUAUAUGAAGAUUUAUUUCCAUAAAUAAAGAAGCAUGAAAAUAUAGCUCCAUGCAAGAAGAAGUAACUUGUUAAUGGCAACAAUGUACCCACCCACUAACUCCC
This is a long non-coding RNA of Heterocephalus glaber (naked mole-rat), 3211 nucleotides long. The record is from Ensembl. Lineage: Eukaryota; Metazoa; Chordata; Mammalia; Rodentia; Bathyergidae.